This 74-nucleotide transfer RNA is filed under the name Methermicoccus shengliensis. RNAcentral's name for it is "tRNA-Trp". It matches the Rfam family "tRNA". Rfam says of the family: Transfer RNA (tRNA) molecules are approximately 80 nucleotides in length. Their secondary structure includes four short double-helical elements and three loops (D, anti-codon, and T loops). The record is from RNAcentral. Lineage: Archaea; Methanobacteriati; Methanobacteriota; Methanomicrobia; Methanosarcinales; Methermicoccaceae.
GGGGCUGUGGCCUAGCCAGGCAGGGCGACGGGCUCCAGACCCGUCGAUCGUGUGUUCAAAUCACACCAGCCCCA